GCGCGCGCGUGGGCCGCGCAGCCGUUGACGUCUGGAAGCGCGCUGCCAUACAAACCUCUGGUCGGAGAUGUUGGCGACGGUGGCAGCUGGGGGAGCUGCUGAGCGCCGCCCGGCACUGGGCUCCCUUUCCCUUCACUUUCUGCAGUUUCUUGCCUCCAGACAAGGUCUCACUGUGUCACCCAGGUCGGAGUGCACUGGUACAAUUGUAGCUCAUGGCAACCUCAAACUCCAAGAUUCAAGUGAUCCUCCUGCCUUGGCCUCUGGAAGUGUUGGAAUUACAGCUGUGAGCCAUGGUGUUGGAUUUCAGGAGAACCAGCCCCCGAUAUUUCAACAUGAAGACUUGAACAUUCUUUUUUUUUUUUUAGAUGAAGUCUUGCUCUGUCAUCCAGGCUGGAGUGCAGUUGCACUAUCUCAACUCAUUGUAACCUCUGCCCUUGUUCCCUAAAAUCACUGUUAUUCUGUUCUUUUUUAAGGUGCACUGAUUUCAUAUUGUUCAAACACACGUUUAUAAUCAGAUUUCAUAUUGUUCAAACACACAUGUUUUACAAUCAAUUUGUUAGUUAAUGCAAUCAUCACAGGGUCCUGAGGUGAUAUACAUUCUCAGCUUACGAAGAUAACAGGAUUGAGAUUAAAAUAAAGACAGGCAUAAGAAAUUAUAAGUGUAUUAUUUGGGAAGUGAUAAAUGUUCAUGAAAUCUUCACAAUUUAUGUUCAGUGAUUGCAGUAAAGACAGGCGUAAGAAAUUAUAAAAGUAUUAAUUUUGGGAACUGAUAAAUGUCCAUUAAAUCACAAUUUAUGUUCCUCUGC
Pongo pygmaeus (Bornean orangutan) is the source of this 806-nucleotide long non-coding RNA. RefSeq lists it as uncharacterized. The record is from RefSeq and is a predicted model, not a curated record. The transcript is spliced from 3 exons. Lineage: Eukaryota; Metazoa; Chordata; Mammalia; Primates; Hominidae.